Molecule: small nucleolar RNA, 196 nt
Organism: Cavia aperea (Brazilian guinea pig)
Lineage: Eukaryota; Metazoa; Chordata; Mammalia; Rodentia; Caviidae
Gene: SNORA73
Rfam family: Small nucleolar RNA SNORA73 family
About the family: U17 (SNORA73A and SNORA73B) also known as E1 belongs to the H/ACA class of small nucleolar RNAs (snoRNAs). Vertebrate U17 is intron-encoded and ranges in length from 200-230 nucleotides, longer than most snoRNAs.
Source: Ensembl
UCACAGCAGAUACCUUUGGCAUAGAUACCUCGUGAGUACUUUUAUAAGAACUGGAUUUGAAAGUCAGAUCUGCCCCAUGAUGUCCAGUCCCUUUCCACAGCUUUGGAGAAGAAGUUGGGUUUCAUGUCUGCGCCUCAGUAUUACUUCUCAGAGUCCUUCAGGCAGUGACUAAGGAGAAAAACCAUGUCAUACAGUC